GAAACAAGGAAAAGUGCCUGAAC
Molecule: non-coding RNA, 23 nt
Filed under: Arabidopsis thaliana (thale cress)
Lineage: Eukaryota; Viridiplantae; Streptophyta; Magnoliopsida; Brassicales; Brassicaceae
Source: RNAcentral